UACGGCGAGUGAGCGGCAACAGCUCAAAUUUGAAAUCUGGCAGCCUCCGGGCGGUCCGAGUUGUAAUUUGAAGAGGAUGCUUUUGGCGAGGCGCCUUCCGAGUGCCCUGGAACGGGACGCCACAGAGGGUGAGAGCCCCGUAUGGUUGGACGCCGAGCCUCUGUAAAGCUCCUUCGACGAGUCGAGUAGUUUGGGAAUGCUGCUCAAAAUGGGAGGUAAACCCCUUCUAAAGCUAAAUACUGGCCAGAGACCGAUAGCGCACAAGUAGAGUGAUCGAAAGAUGAAAAGCACUUUGAAAAGAGAGUUAAAUAGCACGUGAAAUUGUUGAAAGGGAAGCGCUUGCGACCAGACUUGUGCCCGUCGAAUCAGCCGCCGCUCGUCGGCGGCGCACUUCGGCGGGCUCAGGCCAGCAUCAGUUCGCUGCAGGGGGAGAAAGGCGGUGGGAAUGUGGCUCUUCGGAGUGUUAUAGCCCGCCGCGCAAUACCCCUCGGCGGACUGAGGACCGCGCAUCUGCAAGGAUGCU
This 523-nucleotide ribosomal RNA is filed under the name Scedosporium aurantiacum. Its description in RNAcentral is "eukaryotic LSU rRNA". It matches the Rfam family "Eukaryotic large subunit ribosomal RNA", at positions 85 to 627 of the family's 3401-position model. Lineage: Eukaryota; Fungi; Ascomycota; Sordariomycetes; Microascales; Microascaceae. The record is from RNAcentral.